CCUACGGGAGGCAGCAGUGAGGAAUAUUGGUCAAUGGGCGUAAGCCUGAACCAGCCAAGUCGCGUGAGGGAUGAAGGUUCUAUGGAUGGUAAACCUCUUUUAUAAGGGAGUAAAGUGCGGGACGUGUACCGUUUUGUAUGUACCUUAUGAAUAAGGAACGGCUAACUCCGUGCCAGCAGACGCGGUAAUACGGAGGAUCCGAGCGUUAUCCGGAUUUAUUGGGGUUAAAGGGUGCGUCGGCGGCCUUUUAAGUCAGCGGUGCAAGUCUGUGGCUCAACCCUAGAAUUGCCGUUGAAACUGGGAGGCUUGAGUAUGUUUGAGGCCGGCGGCAUGCGUGGUGUAGCGG
This 346-nucleotide ribosomal RNA is filed under the name uncultured bacterium. RNAcentral describes it as "partial 16S ribosomal RNA". It matches the Rfam family "Bacterial small subunit ribosomal RNA", at positions 338 to 681 of the family's 1533-position model. The record is from RNAcentral.